AAUCAACGCUGGCGGCGUGCCUCAGACAUGCAAGUCGAACGAUUAAGACUUCCUUCGGGAAGUGCAUAAAGUGGCGCACGGGUGAGUAACACGUAAGUAAUCUACCCUCGAGUGGGGAAUAACGUUCGGAAACGGACGCUAAUACCGCAUAACGCAGCGGCACCGCAAGGUGACAGUUGUUAAAGGAGCAAUCCGCUUGAGGAGGAGCUUGCGGCAGAUUAGCUAGUUGGUAGGGUAAUGGCUUACCAAGGCUACGAUCUGUAUCCGGUCUAAGAGGACGGUCGGACACACUGACACUGAAUAACGGGUCAGACUCCUACGGGAGGCAGCAGUCGGGAAUUUUGGGCAAUGGGCGAAAGCCUGACCCAGCAACGCCGCGUGAAGGAUGAAGUAUUUCGGUAUGUAAACUUCGAAAGAAUAGGAAGAAUAAAUGACGGUACUAUUUAUAAGCUCCGGCUAACUACGUGCCAGCAGCCGCGGUAAU
This 484-nucleotide ribosomal RNA is filed under the name uncultured bacterium. Its description in RNAcentral is "bacterial SSU rRNA". It matches the Rfam family "Bacterial small subunit ribosomal RNA", at positions 32 to 524 of the family's 1533-position model. The record is from RNAcentral.